AAGUCGUAACAAGGUUUCCGUAGGUGAACCUGCGGAAGGAUCAUUAUCGUAGGGCUUGCGGCCCUGUGAGAUAGAGCCCUUGCCUUUAUGAGUACCGUCCGUUUCUCGGAGGCCCGCUGCCGAUGGACCCAAAACCAAACCCUUUUAUUACCUGUAUCAGUCUGAAAAAUAAACAAAAAUUAAAA
This 185-nucleotide unclassified non-coding RNA is filed under the name plant metagenome. RNAcentral describes it as "partial contains small subunit ribosomal RNA and internal transcribed spacer 1". The stretch from base 1 to 46 matches the Rfam family "Eukaryotic small subunit ribosomal RNA", at positions 1786 to 1831 of the family's 1831-position model. The record is from RNAcentral.